GCAUAUCAAUAAGCGGAGGAAAAGAAAAUAACAAUGAUUCCCUCAGUAACGGCGAGUGAACAGGGAAAAGCUCAAAGUUGGAACCUCCUAGCCCUAGGCUCGGCGGAUUGUAAACUAAAGCUGUUGAGUAGUUCGGUUAGCCUGGUAAAAAAGUUCUCUGGAAAGGGACGACAUGGAGGGUGAAAUCCCCGUCUUUGGCCAGAGCAUAAUCCUACGUUUGCUCGAUAGCGAAGAGUCAGGUUGUUUGGUAAUGCAGCUAAAUGGGAGGUAAAUCUCUCCUAAAGCUAAAUAUUGACGAAAGACCGAUAGCGAACAAGUACCGUGAGGGAAAGAUGAAAAGCACUUUGAAAAGAGGGUCAAAAAGUACGUGAAAUUGCUGAAAGGGAACCGUAUGAAAUCAGCCUGAUCUUUUGGUAAUCAACCUGGGCUUUGGCCUGGGUGCACUUGCCGAUGGAUUAGCCUACGACAAUUCGGUCUCAAGGAAAAAAUUAGGGGGAAUGUGGCCUACGUUUCGGCGGAGGUGUUAUAGCCCUUUGAAAAAUACUUGGGACUGGAUUGAGGCAUGCAGCGAGCCUUUAUUGGUAUUGGGUCUCGGGUGCUUUGUGUUAACUGGGCGGAAAUCUCUACUUUAAGGUAGUGUUCGUCUUUUUGGCAUUAACUCGCCUGUUUCUUCUUAUUUCUCGCUUAGGUCGUAGGCAUAAUGAUUUUAUAUGACCCGUCUUGAAACACGGACCAAGGAGUCCACCAUUGUUGCGAGUCUUUGGGUGUAAAAACCCAUGGGCGGAAGGAAACUGACCAAGAUAUGAAGGCCUUAAAGGCUGGCAAUAUCCUCCGGCGAGGACGUUUUAUACUGAAUUGACCGAGAGAAAGCAAUAAUGAUGGGACCCGAAAGAUGGUGAACUAUACUUGAAUAGGGUGAAGCCAGAGGAAACUCUGGUGGAAGCUCGUAGCGAUUCUGACGUGCAAAUCGAUCGUCAAAUUUGAGUAUAGGGGCGAAAGACUAAUCGAACCAU
This 1013-nucleotide ribosomal RNA is filed under the name Absidia fusca. Its description in RNAcentral is "partial large subunit ribosomal RNA". It matches the Rfam family "Eukaryotic large subunit ribosomal RNA", at positions 38 to 943 of the family's 3401-position model. Lineage: Eukaryota; Fungi; Mucoromycota; Mucoromycetes; Mucorales; Cunninghamellaceae. The record is from RNAcentral.